Molecule: long non-coding RNA, 262 nt
Filed under: Nicotiana benthamiana
Lineage: Eukaryota; Viridiplantae; Streptophyta; Magnoliopsida; Solanales; Solanaceae
Description: long non-coding RNA (NBEN_LNC007258)
Source: RNAcentral
AAGGUUUUCAGAGGGGUUUUCUACAAUUUGUUUGGCCUGAUUAAAAGAGAUUUCAAAAUCUUCAGGCCACACAACCGUCGGAAAGCCAGAACAACGGCAGAAAAAAGGGAAUCAAAUAGGUUACAGUCAAGAACAAUGCGUUUUCCAAGGACAAGGGUUUCGAGCCUAUCAGAAAUGCUAGAGCAAAGAUUGGCAUAGAACAUACGGCUAGAGGUUCAUACACUUUAGGCGGAGAUAUAGAGAGAAAUUUGUCCCACCCCUG